AAAAACAUGGGAACCUUCCAACUUUAGACUCCGAUAUAGCUGUUGAAGGAAAGCAGCUAACACUUCUGAAGAACAGUGCGUAAUUUCUUGGACAUAUGGAAUGGAAUCCCCAAUCCUGUCUUCAAACUGCUGAGGUUGUUUUCCUCUUCCAUCUGUUUUCAGGGCUACAUCAUCUGGAGAUGUAUCACUUCUCUCAUUGAAUAUACGAGUACAGCAAUUGUUUUGGGCAUGAAAGGAACACAUAUUUGGCUCAUGUUUAUAAAUUAUUUGUAAAUAUUAAGUCACUUUUUAUUCAUAUAUUUCAAGAAAAGUCACAAAUCCUAACCACUUUUAACCAUUCAUUUAUAUCCAUUAAUAAUUUAAAUCGUUUACACACUUUUCAAACACCAAUAAGUAAUAUUAUUGAGCUCCACCAAUAUUUUUCUCCGAUCUAUGUGACAGUUUGAUCACUAUUACAUAAUCUCAUGAAGUUAUAAUGUAUUUUUUUUAAUCUAUGUACGACAUAGCAAUUUCCCCACUACCGUAUAUAUUGAUAUUAAACAUUAGUGAGACUAAAUAAUAUUAUACAAUUUAAAUAGAGUCAUUCUAUCCUCAUCUACCGGAAAAAAGACAUCAUAAGCCUUUGCUUGGAAUUCAUUAUAUUUUGCUAAAUCCUCUUUUUAUUUUUUAUUUUUUUUCCCAACAUAUUGAUGAUGUAUGAGAGGAUAUUAUUUGUGGGCAGGGGCAGAUCCAGCUAGUGGCGAGCUAGGGCGGUCGCCUUAGCUGGAUCCGCCAGAAUCUUCAGACCGUCGAGCACUGGUGGCUGAGUUGCAGGCAUUGCAGGAUGGAGACGGAGGACAGCCAGUAGGAGGAAAUUUGGAGAAGAAAGGAAUGGCUCCUGGGCUGGCCCCUUUCUUUAAAUUGUUGUCUUGUUAGGCUGAUUUUCUUCACAAUGGGUCUGUUUUUGUUAAAAAAAUCCUAGGCCCAAUUCAAUUGCCCAUUGUCUUGGUUCAUUAUACUUUCAAUUUCCCACAAAUUCAACCCCUACUUUCCCCCAAAUCGUGAGUUCAUGAUUGUGAUUGAGUCUAUUUAGAUGAUGGCUUUCAUGAUUUUGGAUAAUUUAAUUUACUUUUGAGUAGAUAUUUGGGCUGGCAGAGAAAGAGAUGGAAUACGGUGUGGAUUUGUUCAACCAGUAGGUGAACCUUGCCUUUUGCCCUUGCAUAUAAUUCUUAUUAACAUUAAUGUUCCAUCUUUCUGUUGAAAAUAUUUAUUUAUUUAUUUAUUUAUUA
This 1268-nucleotide long non-coding RNA is filed under the name Olea europaea (common olive). RNAcentral's name for it is "long non-coding RNA (OEUR_LNC002296)". The record is from RNAcentral. Lineage: Eukaryota; Viridiplantae; Streptophyta; Magnoliopsida; Lamiales; Oleaceae.